This 86-nucleotide transfer RNA is filed under the name Podoviridae sp. ct8Lf7. RNAcentral's name for it is "tRNA-Leu". It matches the Rfam family "tRNA". Rfam says of the family: Transfer RNA (tRNA) molecules are approximately 80 nucleotides in length. Their secondary structure includes four short double-helical elements and three loops (D, anti-codon, and T loops). Further hydrogen bonds mediate the characteristic L-shaped molecular structure. tRNAs have two regions of fundamental functional importance: the anti-codon, which is responsible for specific mRNA codon recognition, and the 3' end, to which the tRNAs corresponding amino acid is attached (by aminoacyl-tRNA synthetases). tRNAs cope with the degeneracy of the genetic code in two manners: having more than one tRNA (with a specific anti-codon) for a particular amino acid; and 'wobble' base-pairing, i.e. permitting non-standard base-pairing at the 3rd anti-codon position. Lineage: Duplodnaviria; Heunggongvirae; Uroviricota; Caudoviricetes. RNAcentral also lists the same sequence under 1 other name. The record is from RNAcentral.
GCCAGAAUGGUGGAAUUGGUAGACACGUUAGAAUUAAGAUCUAAUGCCCAGUAAUGGGCGUGUGGGUUCGAGUCCCACUUCGGGUA